GGAGGUGGUGGUUAUGGUCGUGAGGAUUACGGGGGUGGUGGCUAUCGCAGAUCUCCAAGGCGCUCACCGUAUCGUGGUGGGCGUGAGUAUUCACCAAGGCGUUCACCGUAUGGUGGCAGGUCAAGAAGAGAUCGAUCUUAUUCUCCAUAUGGGAGCCCAGACAGAGGUGGCUAUGGGCGUCGUGGAAAUGGUUAUGGCAGGUAAAUUGAAACAUUCUUCAAGUAAGAGACUGGUGCUUGGUAGAGGCUUGUUUACUUUUCCGAAG
Molecule: unclassified non-coding RNA, 265 nt
Filed under: Hevea brasiliensis (rubber tree)
Lineage: Eukaryota; Viridiplantae; Streptophyta; Magnoliopsida; Malpighiales; Euphorbiaceae
Source: RNAcentral